CGCUGGCGGCGUGCUUAACACAUGCAAGUCGAACGGAAACAGCAGGGGCCUGCUCCUGGCUGUCGAGUGGCGCACGGGUGAGUAAUGUAUAGCUAACAUGCCCCAUAGAGGGGGAUAACGUCUGGAAACGGACGCUAAUACCCCAUACUCCUUAUAGUUGAGAUACUAUAAGGGAAAUGGAUUUCCGCUAUGGGAUUGGGCUAUAUGGUAUCAGCUAGUUGGUAAGGUAAUGGCUUACCAAGGCAAUGACGCCUAACUGGACUGAGAGGAUGAUCAGCCACACUGGAACUGAGACACGGUCCAGACUCCUACGGGAGGCAGCAGUGGGGAAUAUUGCACAAUGGGGGAAACCCUGAUGCAGCAACGCCGCGUGGAGGAUGACGCAUUUCGGUGUGUAAACUCCUUUUAUCAAGGAAGAAAUUUGACGGUACUUGAUGAAUAAGCACCGGCUAACUCCGUGCCAGCAACCGCGGUAAUACGGAGGGUGCAAGCGUUACUCGGAAUUACUGGGCGUAAAGGACGCGUAGGCGGUUUAGAAAGUCAGAUGUGAAAGCCUAUGGCUUAACCAUAGAACUGCAUCUGAAACUCCUAAACUAGAGUGAGGGAGAGGUCAGUGGAAUUAGUGGUGUAGGGGUAAAAUCCGUAGAGAUCACUAGGAAUACUCAUAGCGAAGGCGACUGACUGGAACUUUACUGACGCUGAGGCGUGAAAAGCGUGGGGAGCAAACAGGAUUAGAUACCCUGGUAGUCCACGCCCUAAACGAUGUACACUAGUUGUUGCGAUGCAAGUCAUCGCAGUAAUGCAGCUAACGCAUUAAGUGUACCGCCUGGGGAGUACGGUCGCAAGAUUAAAACUCAAAGGAAUAGACGGGGACCCGCACAAGCGGUGGAGCAUGUGGUUUAAUUCGAAGAUACGCGAAGAACCUUACCUGGACUUGACAUCCCAAGAACCUUCCAGAGAUGGAAGGGUGCUUGCUUGCAAGAACUUGGUGACAGGUGCUGCACGGCUGUCGUCAGCUCGUGUCGUGAGAUGUUGGGUUAAGUCCCGCAACGAGCGCAACCCUCGUCGUUAGUUGCUAACAGUUCGGCUGAGCACUCUAACGAGACUGCCUGAGUAACCAGGAGGAAGGUGAGGACGACGUCAAGUCAUCAUGGCCCUUAUGUCCAGGGCUACACACGUGCUACAAUGGCUAGGACAAUGAGACGCGAUACCGCGAGGUGGAGCAAAUCUAUAAACCUAGUCUCAGUUCGGAUAGCACUCUGCAACUCGAGUGCUUGAAGCUGGAAUCGCUAGUAAUCGUAGAUCAGCAAUGCUACGGUGAAUACGUUCCCGGGUCUUGUACUCACCGCCCGUCACACCAUGGGAGUUGGUUUCACCCGAAGCCGGAAUGCCAAAUUGGCUACCGUCCACGGUGGGCCCAGCGACUGGGGUGAAGUCGU
This 1439-nucleotide ribosomal RNA is filed under the name uncultured bacterium. RNAcentral describes it as "16S ribosomal RNA". It matches the Rfam family "Bacterial small subunit ribosomal RNA". The record is from RNAcentral.